Molecule: long non-coding RNA, 624 nt
Filed under: Hordeum vulgare
Lineage: Eukaryota; Viridiplantae; Streptophyta; Magnoliopsida; Poales; Poaceae
Description: long non-coding RNA (HVUL_LNC011048)
Source: RNAcentral
CUUAAUAAUGCAUAAAUUAACUGAUCAUGCACUGCACCCACCGGCCAAGAGCCAAUUAUCGUGAUGCGGCCAGUUAAGCAAGGAGGAGGAAGCACGGCGCCAUGGGCUGAGCAGCUGCUGCUGCCCUCUGAACAAAUCCUACCGCUACAUCACGUCACAUAGGAAAAGGGAACAUGGCACGCAAUGCAGAUGCAAUGGCUGCCGCUUUUCUGAAGGGAUGCCGUGCUGAACUCCGAGUGAAGUGAAGAUGGAUGUACCGCCGGCGCAGCUUGUGGCUGAACUCGCCCCGGCAGGCAUCCGAAUUACAUUACUGGAACACAGCAGCUGGGAUGCUGGAUCCGGGCCGGAGGAUGGAAGGAAUCUGAGAUGGAUGGCUGCGAGCACCGAAUGCUCAUUCCGCGCACUGCACGAGUGCAUGCAUUCUCGGCACUCCCGGGCCUGCGCAGAAUCAAGCAUGUUACCACUUCUCCUCGAAUGUCAUUCAGAAUGGCAAGAGCAGGAUUUCGAUCUGAGGAAAGACGGCCAAGGAGGGGAGCAUCGUAAACCGUCCAAUCGAGAUCGAUCGAUCGAUGCAGGACUGAUCUGAAAUUCUGAAGCGUCUGCACGGCUCCGAGUUUAUUAGGG